RNAcentral lists this ribosomal RNA (1348 nucleotides) under uncultured bacterium. Its description in RNAcentral is "partial 16S ribosomal RNA". It matches the Rfam family "Bacterial small subunit ribosomal RNA", at positions 28 to 1381 of the family's 1533-position model. The record is from RNAcentral.
GACGAACGCUGGCGGCGUGCUUAACACAUGCAAGUCGAACGGAAAGGCCCUGCUUUUGUGGGGUGCUCGAGUGGCGAACGGGUGAGUAACACGUGAGUAACCUGCCCUUGACUUUGGGAUAACUUCAGGAAACUGGGGCUAAUACCGGAUAGGAGCUCCUGCUGCAUGGUGGGGGUUGGAAAGUUUCGGCGGUUGGGGAUGGACUCGCGGCUUAUCAGCUUGUUGGUGGGGUAGUGGCUUACCAAGGCUUUGACGGGUAGCCGGCCUGAGAGGGUGACCGGCCACAUUGGGACUGAGAUACGGCCCAGACUCCUACGGGAGGCAGCAGUGGGGAAUAUUGCACAAUGGGCGGAAGCCUGAUGCAGCAACGCCGCGUGCGGGAUGACGGCCUUCGGGUUGUAAACCGCUUUCGCCUGUGACGAAGCGUGAGUGACGGUAAUGGGUAAAGAAGCACCGGCUAACUACGUGCCAGCAGCCGCGGUGAUACGUAGGGUGCGAGCGUUGUCCGGAUUUAUUGGGCGUAAAGGGCUCGUAGGUGGUUGAUCGCGUCGGAAGUGUAAUCUUGGGGCUUAACCCCUGAGCGUGCUUUCAAUACGGGUUGACUUGAAGAAAGGUAGGGGAGAAUGGAAUUCCUGGUGGAGCGGUGGAAUGCGCAGAUAUCAGGAGGAACACCAGUGGCGAAGGCGGUUCUCUGGGCCUUUCCUGACGCUGAGGAGCGAAAGCGUGGGGAGCGAACAGGCUUAGAUACCCUGGUAGUCCACGCUGUAAACGGUGGGUACUAGGUGUGGGGUCCAUUCCACGGGUUCCGCGCCGUGGCUAACGCUUUAAGUACCCCGCCUGGGGAGUACGGCCGCAAGGCUAAAACUCAAAGGAAUUGACGGGGCCCCGCACAAGCGGCGGAGCAUGCGGAUUAAUUCGAUGCAACGCGUAGAACCUUACCUGGGUUUGACAUGGAUCGGGAGUGCUCAGAGAUGGGUGUGCCUCUUUUGGGGUCGGUUCACAGGUGGUGCAUGGCUGUCGUCAGCUCGUGUCGUGAGAUGUUGGGUUAAGUCCCGCAACGAGCGCAACCCUUGUUCACUGUUGCCAGCACGUUAUGGUGGGGACUCAGUGGAGACCGCCGGGGUCAACUCGGAGGAAGGUGGGGAUGACGUCAAGUCAUCAUGCCCCUUAUGUCCAGGGCUUCACGCAUGCUACAAUGGCUGGUACAGAGAGUGGCGAGCCUGUGAGGGUGAGCGAAUCUCGGAAAGCCGGUCUCAGUUCGGAUUGGGGUCUGCAACUCGACCUCAUGAAGUCGGAGUCGCUAGUAAUCGCAGAUCAGCAACGCUGCGGUGAAUACGUUCCCGGGGCU